UUCUAAUAUAUAAAAGGUCCUGCCUGCCCGGUGACUAAGUUAAACGGCCGCGGUAUCUUGACCGUGCAAAGGUAGCAUAAUCAUUUGCCUUUUAAAUGGGGGCUGGUAUGAAUGGCAAGACGGGAAUCAGACUGUCUCUCUCUUGUAAAUCUUGAAGUUAAUAUCUUCGUGAAGAAGCGGAGAUAAAGUCGUAGGACGAGAAGACCCUAUCGAGCUUUAGUUAGAAUUAAUAUAGAUCAGUGCUGGUAUUUUAUGUGCUAAUAAAAUAAUUUCGUUGACUUGGAAGGUACUAUUAAUAAUACCUGGUUAUAUGUUUUAUACUUAGGUUGGGGCAACCGCGGAGAAUAAGAAUCCUCCGUUAAGUUAAUUAUUAAGCAUUGCGUUUUUAAUGUAAUUAAGUUGUUUAAGAGUGAUCCACUAGAAAGUGAUCAAAAGAAUAAGUUACCGUAGGGAUAACAGCGUAAUUUUUUUGGAGAGUUCAUAUUGAUAAAGAAGUUUGCGACCUCGAUGUUGGAUCAGGAUUUCCUAGAGAUGCAGCAGUUUCUAAGGGUUGGUCUGUUCGAC
RNAcentral lists this ribosomal RNA (564 nucleotides) under Aquilonastra coronata. RNAcentral's name for it is "16S rRNA". It matches the Rfam family "Bacterial large subunit ribosomal RNA", at positions 1836 to 2585 of the family's 2925-position model. The record is from RNAcentral. Lineage: Eukaryota; Metazoa; Echinodermata; Asteroidea; Valvatida; Asterinidae.